AGAGGAAGUAAAAGUCGUAACAAGGUCUCCGUUGGUGAACCAGCGGAGGGAUCAUUACUGAGUUUACGCUCUAUAACCCUUUGUGAACAUACCUAUAACUGUUGCUUCGGCGGGUAGGGUCUCCGCGACCCUCCCGGCCUCCCGCCUCCGGGCGGGUCGGCGCCCGCCGGAGGAUAACCAAACUCUGAUUUAACGACGUUUCUUCUGAGUGGUACAAGCAAAUAAUCAAAACUUUUAACAACGGAUCUCUUGGUUCUGGCAUCGAUGAAGAACGCAGCGAAAUGCGAUAAGUAAUGUGAAUUGCAGAAUUCAGUGAAUCAUCGAAUCUUUGAACGCACAUUGCGCCCGCCAGCAUUCUGGCGGGCAUGCCUGUUCGAGCGUCAUUUCAACCCUCAAGCUCUGCUUGGUGUUGGGGCCCUACAGCUGAUGUAGGCCCUCAAAGGUAGUGGCGGACCCUCCCGGAGCCUCCUUUGCGUAGUAACUUUACGUCUCGCACUGGGAUCCGGAGGGACUCUUGCCGUAAAACCCCCCAAUUUUCCAAAGGUUGACCUCGGAUCAGGUAGGAAUACCCGCUGAACUUAAGCAUAUCAA
RNAcentral lists this ribosomal RNA (591 nucleotides) under Colletotrichum gloeosporioides. RNAcentral describes it as "eukaryotic LSU rRNA". The stretch from base 230 to 383 matches the Rfam family "5.8S ribosomal RNA". Lineage: Eukaryota; Fungi; Ascomycota; Sordariomycetes; Glomerellales; Glomerellaceae. The record is from RNAcentral.